Molecule: transfer RNA, 77 nt
Filed under: compost metagenome
Description: tRNA-Thr
Rfam family: tRNA
About the family: Transfer RNA (tRNA) molecules are approximately 80 nucleotides in length. Their secondary structure includes four short double-helical elements and three loops (D, anti-codon, and T loops).
Source: RNAcentral
GCAGGAAUAACACAAUUGGCUAGUGUAGCGUCCUUGUAAGACGAAGGCUGGGGGUUCGAGUCCCUCUUCCUGCACCA